CAAAAUCUCAUAGAGGAGGAAAUGGGAAGAAUAUUUCAUUCAGAAGACAAAUGCUAAAAAAAUAAUUUGACAACUGCACAUGGAUAUGGAAUGGAACACCCCUUAUUCCUUUGGCCCAGACAGCGUUGUUGAGCCUGGUGUCAAUGCACAUAUCUGUCGUUCCCCUUUCUUUUGUGUGAAACAACUGCAUGUGGAGAGAAGAGUCACACAUUUUGGAGGCUGAAGCCAUCCCCACCCUGAGUCAUAGCUGCCUGGCCUCACUAGGGAUCUAGACACCGGCAACAUGGAGCUCUGGGGAUUUCUGUUUUGCUGGGACUGAUGUGUGAACAUUUACAAUAACAGUCAACAUAAGAACAAUGACACAACAUAGGUAAGGAUUUAAUUUUAUUCCUUAUUUUUCAAAAAGCUUCCUUAACAUGAUGUAACAGUUACUAAUGCCCUAUUACUUUAAGUUCUGCUAAAGUAUAUGAGGACCCAUGACAUUAAGUCCAUUUAAAAACUCUUGUUCUUUUCUGGGAAGAACAAUAGUGCAAAGUAUAAUAUUGAACAAUAGUUAAAGGGUAGUGUAAAGCACAAUACAGUGUAAAUGAUGAUGUAAAAAUGAUUAACAAAAAGGCAGUGGAGAAUUUCUCCUCACCUUCACAUGACCCAAAUCAUGCAUUUUUUGUUUGUUUUGAAAUUGAUGUUUCCACGUUAGUUCUGGGGGAAGUACAGCCUCUUCUUUCUGAUUCCUACUCCUAACCUCAGUGUGACAUCCACCUUAGAUACUUAAGUAUCCGCAGUUUUCAUAAAGAAAGGACAAGUAAACUCACAUUCAUGGACCAAUCAUGGU
Molecule: long non-coding RNA, 832 nt
Organism: Neofelis nebulosa (Clouded leopard)
Lineage: Eukaryota; Metazoa; Chordata; Mammalia; Carnivora; Felidae
Exons: 3
Source: RefSeq, a predicted model, not a curated record